Homo sapiens (human) is the source of this 1018-nucleotide long non-coding RNA. NCBI's taxonomy places the organism in Eukaryota, Metazoa, Chordata, Mammalia, Primates, Hominidae. The record is from Ensembl.
UCUCAUUUUUCUUUCACUGACUGGAGGCAGAUGAUGAAUUUGAAGCCCUGACAAAGAGAAGGCAAAAUCAGUUUGUGUCCCUGAGUUGCUAAGUGGAGAAGAAACGUCCACCAACCAGGAAACACCUGCCUCCAACUGUUAAUAGGUCUGUGAAAUGUGCUUUGUUUCUGGUCAGCAUGGACACCCGCUUUAAUAGUGGCUUCAGAUGAGGCACCUUGUGACAGAGGAGCUCUUCCCCUGCAACCUUGAAGAUGUUGUGGAAGACAAUAGCCAUUCUUACUUCACUCUGAGGAUCACGAUGGCGUGCAAGGGUGUGCCAAGCACAUUGCUAUCUUUGGCCAUUCUCUCUCACAUUAGUACACCUGGAUGUGAAUGGCACGUUAUCUAUGUAAGCAGUGAUGGUCUCUAUCUGGUGGUAGAAAUGACAGAAUUACACACAAUCAGGACAGCUGAGAUUCCAUUUACUAGCUCAGUAAUCAGAGAAUAUGUAUGACAUCCCAGCAAAAAAUGUUGAACAUGUUCAGAUUUCAUCAUAUCAGCACCACAGUAUCAGUCUUACUGGGAGGUGCUCGCAUUCAGUUCCUGGCUACUGAAGAAAUUUUGCAGGAGUUCCAGAUAACUUACUUGUCCCAUAAUAAUGAAAACUAUUACAAUUAUGCUAAAGAAGAAUACUUAAUAACACAGUAAAAAUGUUUAUGAUGUCUUUUAAUUUCUAAAGCAUGUUAUAAAAGUAUUACAGUAUGAUCUCAUAUUUGUAAGUAAAAUAUAUAUUAAUUCAUUUAGCAAAUAAAUAUUAAGCCCCUACUAUGCACAUACCAAUAUAGAUAUUGGUAUUUGUGUGGGUGUGUGUUACAGCAGAUUUUAAUUUUCUUAUUUUGUAUUUUCUGAUUUAUCUACAAUGAAUUUGUAUUAAUUUGCUAACAAAACAUCACUAUUAAAAUAAAUUUUUUUUGAAUUAUAAGAAAAGGCUAACAUCAUAACAAUAAGGUUGUAUAGAAUAAACUGACAACACAGAAGU